GCGGGUGUAGCUCAGUUGGUUAGAGCGCCGGCCUGUCACGCCGGAGGUCGCGGGUUCAAGUCCCGUCACUCGCG
Molecule: transfer RNA, 74 nt
Organism: Sphingomonas sp. Leaf339
Lineage: Bacteria; Pseudomonadati; Pseudomonadota; Alphaproteobacteria; Sphingomonadales; Sphingomonadaceae
Rfam family: tRNA
About the family: Transfer RNA (tRNA) molecules are approximately 80 nucleotides in length. Their secondary structure includes four short double-helical elements and three loops (D, anti-codon, and T loops). Further hydrogen bonds mediate the characteristic L-shaped molecular structure. tRNAs have two regions of fundamental functional importance: the anti-codon, which is responsible for specific mRNA codon recognition, and the 3' end, to which the tRNAs corresponding amino acid is attached (by aminoacyl-tRNA synthetases). tRNAs cope with the degeneracy of the genetic code in two manners: having more than one tRNA (with a specific anti-codon) for a particular amino acid; and 'wobble' base-pairing, i.e. permitting non-standard base-pairing at the 3rd anti-codon position.
Source: Rfam